This 94-nucleotide ribosomal RNA is filed under the name Priestia iocasae. The record is from RNAcentral. Lineage: Bacteria; Bacillati; Bacillota; Bacilli; Caryophanales; Bacillaceae.
UCACACCCGUUCCCAUGCCGAACACGGAAGUUAAGCUCUCUAGCGCCGAUGGUAGUUGGGACUUUGUCCCUGUGAGAGUAGGACGUUGCCGGGC